UACGGGGGGGGCAAGCGUUGUUCGGAAUUACUGGGCGUAAAGGGCGCGUAGGUGGCCAACUAAGUCAGACGUGAAAUCCCUCGGCUUAACCGGGGAACUGCGUCUGAUACUGGAUGGCUUGAGUUUGGGAGAGGGACGCGGAAUUCCAGGUGUAGCGGUGAAAUGCGUAGAUAUCUGGAGGAACACCGGUGGCGAAGGCGGCAUCCUGGACCAACACUGACGCUGAGGAGCGAAAGCCAGGGGAGCAAACGGG
This 253-nucleotide ribosomal RNA is filed under the name uncultured bacterium. Its description in RNAcentral is "partial 16S ribosomal RNA". It matches the Rfam family "Bacterial small subunit ribosomal RNA", at positions 524 to 776 of the family's 1533-position model. The record is from RNAcentral.